AUCAACAAGAAGGUUUUGAGAAAUAUAAAGAAUAAGUCUAGAAAGAUGUAUUGUAAAUAUAUAUACAUACAUAGUUGUUGAAUUAUGCUCAGUCAACAUUGCAUAAGUGAUUCAAAUUAUAAAAAUGAAUGAAUUAUUUUCUAUGAAUUAAUAGACAGUGAAUGAAUAUAAAUUCCAUAGGAUGGUGGUGCAAAUUCCAAAUCAUUGAAGUUGAAUAAGAUGAUGUGUUAAUAGAAACUAACAAAUUGCAUUGGUGUCAAGAUAAUUUACUGGGUAAUAAAUCUGGAGAUCCACAUAUUUGAGAAAAUGAUAAUUUAUAUCCUAUCAUACCAUGUCAGAACAAUAAAUAUGGAAUAACUGAAUUCAGAUAAGUAUGGCCACAUGACAGUGAUUACAAUGGACUAUAAGCAUGGAUUGU
RNAcentral lists this long non-coding RNA (418 nucleotides) under Physcomitrium patens. Its description in RNAcentral is "long non-coding RNA (PPAT_LNC003388)". The record is from RNAcentral. Lineage: Eukaryota; Viridiplantae; Streptophyta; Bryopsida; Funariales; Funariaceae.